UACAGAGGUGGCAAGCGUUGUUCGGAAUUACUGGGCGUAAAGCGCACGUAGGCGGCCUCAUAAGUCGGAUGUGAAAUCCCACGGCUUAACCGUGGAAGUGCAUCCGAAACUGCGAGGCUCGAGUAUGGAAGAGGGUCGCAGAAUUCCCGGUGUAGAGGUGAAAUUCGUAGAUAUCGGGGGGAAUACCAGUGGCGAAGGCGGCGACCUGGGCCAAUACUGACGCUGAGGUGCGAAAGCGUGGGGAGCAAACAGG
This 253-nucleotide ribosomal RNA is filed under the name uncultured bacterium. Its description in RNAcentral is "partial 16S ribosomal RNA". It matches the Rfam family "Bacterial small subunit ribosomal RNA", at positions 524 to 776 of the family's 1533-position model. The record is from RNAcentral.